ACAUGCAAGUCGAACGGAGACGAUCAUAGGUUGGUAGGAGGGCGUCGGAGCGGCGGACGAGUGAGUAACCGCGUGAGAUUGUACCCUGAUGGGGACAACCCGGGGAAACUCGGGCUAAUACCGCAUACGCCCUACGGGGUAAGGCAGGAGACCUUCGGCCUUGCGCUGAUGGAUGAGCUCGCGUCGGAUUAGCUUGUUGGUGAGGUAAAGGCUCACCAAGGCGACGAUCCGUAGGUGGUCUGAGAGGAUGAUCAGCCACACCGGGAUUGAGACACGGCCCGGACUCCUACGGGAGGCAGCAGUGGGGAAUCUUGGACAAUGGGGGCAACCCUGAUCCAGCCAUGCCGCGUGUGUGAAGAAGGCCUUCGGGUUGUAAAGCACUUUCAGCAGGGAGGAAG
This 398-nucleotide ribosomal RNA is filed under the name uncultured bacterium NIC013. Its description in RNAcentral is "bacterial SSU rRNA". It matches the Rfam family "Bacterial small subunit ribosomal RNA", at positions 53 to 450 of the family's 1533-position model. Lineage: Bacteria; Pseudomonadati; Pseudomonadota; Gammaproteobacteria. The record is from RNAcentral.